AGGGCGUUCCCAUGUGUCCAUUUUUCGAAAAACGCAGAAGCAUAUAUCUGCCUUAAUAAGUGUUGUGUUGAAGAAUAGUUUUGUCAAUGUACAAAAUCAACAAUCUCAGAACAGUGAACACUGAUGAGAUUGAUAUGCUGUGUUUCUGUGUGCAUGGAUUUGAAAUACUUUAGGGAUUAACUGUUGAGACAGGACUACAAUAUGUUAUCGUUUACGAUGUCCAUAAUAUGUUUUAGUAUUCACAUUGAGUGGAUGGUUUAUUUCAAUAACAUUUGUGUGAUAACUGGGCAGAGUAAUUAAAACAUGUGAAUCCGCUGGUCCACUAGGUGGCAGAAACCCUCUGUUGUUACGGUUGAGUUAACCUAUACUAAGCACAGAACAAGUUCAGUCGGGUAUGUGUCUCUGUUGGCCAUGUUGAGUGUUCUGCAAACUGUGUUCGCCAACAAAGAAAUAAAGUUCCUUAAAUGUGUAACAAGAAGCCUCCGGGAGUUACUACAUAAAUGGCGACGAGGAUAAACUAAAGCCGAUGCCUCGUGGGGUUGCAGCGGAUGCAAGCGAAACAGUUUGGUCCUCCAUAGUAGGGAGCACCGCUCCGUUCGACAGUGAGACACAGACGUGGGAAGAAUAUUGUGAGGUUCUUCACCAUUUUUUUUAAGCUAACGAAAUCACAGAUGCAAUUCGGCAGAAAGCUAGAAUUCUCAGUUCAGUGGGAAGUCAGACGUACAGCCUCGUGAGGAACCGUGUCAGUCCCGCCAAACCAGGAGACAAGACGUUUGCCGAACUGGUCAAGAUUUUAAAGGAACAUUUCAACCCCAAACCCAGCGAGAUUGUGCAGCGGUUCAAGUUUAAUUCCAGACAGAGGAAGCUUGAGGAAACAGUAAUGGAAUACAUCGCCGUGUUAAGGAAGUUAGCACUGGACUGCAGCUAUGGAGACAAGUUGUCGGAGAUGCUACGCGACAGACUGGUUUGUGGGAUUGGAGAUGACCGCAUUCAGCGCCGACUGUUGUCAGAACCGGAUUUGACAUUUGAGAAAGCACUAAAGCUGGCACAAGCCAUUGAGACAGCCAGCAAGGAUGUUAAGGAUUUACAGUCGCUGGAGUCUACACCCUCACACAUGAGGGCACCUCAUGCUCUAAUACGACCAAUAUUGUUAAGAAAGCGAGACAGCGCCUUUUCUUUUUACUUAGGCUUCGAGAGUUUAUUAAAAAUACUAAGAUUUUAUUGAAUUUUUACUAUUGUGUAAUUGAGAGUGUCCUAACCAGUUGUAUUACGGUGUGGUUUGGUAAUCUCACUCAAAAAGAGAAGAAGGCUUUGAAUAAAGUGGUUCGUUCAGCCAGCAGAAUUAUUGGCUGCACUUUUCCGCUCCUGGAGUUCACAUAUAAAGCUAGACUAUUGAAUCGAGCUUUACAACUGGCUAAUGAUGCCUCAGGCCAUCCAGCAGGGGCUUUCUUUGAGAUGUUUCCCUCAGGGAGAAGGCUAAGGCAAGUUCCGUGGCAGGCAAGUUUUAUUCCUGUAACAACGUCCGCUUGCAUAGAGAGAGAGAGAGAGGGAGAGGGAGAGAGAAAAAAAUAUGUGUGUCUCGUGGACUGGGUAUUUCCUUGUUUUCAAGGUCGACGAGACAACCUGGUAUCAGCAGCUGAGAGGCUCUGGAAAAAGCGGAGGAGAUACAAAGAUAAUAAUAAGGAAAACUACCCACAGCGAUAUCAACUUAAGAUCAGAUCAUCGACAAGCAACAGUAUAGAGGCCACAAGUAAAAGUAGAGAAAGUGGGAGAAGAAGAGUGCACAAUUUAAUCUAUUUGAUUAAUUUGUCUGUGUACAAGUUAACUAACUAAUUAGUAAGGAUGGAACGUGGGCGUACUGAGGUUUGGGAUGAAAUGAAAAUCCCAUACCCUGUGAACAUCAAGGAAAACGAGAAAAAAAGAAAAACAUUCAAAAAUAAACAUCUACUUUUAAAUCCUGAACAUCUAUAUGCUGAUGCCACAAUCAAAGGGGAUUGGAUGACCAACUUGAUUUUUUUCACAAGCCGUCCCAAAGUCUGGCAAGAAAGCAUCUGUAGGACCUAUGACGUCCCAAGAGAUAAACUAAGAGUUAUUAACCAUGGCAGUCAAGUGACCAUACUUAACGACACAGGAUCUACAUUCCUAAAUAUCAAUAUUUAUGAUACUGGAACAGUCGUAAUUAAUGGGGAUGACCCAAAUCUUCGGGAGUUUAAAAGCACAUUCUUUGAGUUAAAAACAAAGAUGGAAGAAUCAGACCACAUGCCAAAAAGUGAGGAGUCUGAUGAGGAGGAAAAGGUGGAGGUUAAGGAGGAGAAGAACCCUCCUGCUCAACCAGACCCCGCAACUGACCUUGACAUGGGUAGUCUCAAGUUGUGACCCCUCAAAAUUGUUUAUGAUGUUGCACUGUGCUGUGUGUGCUGUACCAUACUAUGUAAUAAUAUAAUGUGAUAUUCUCUUUAUAUUCUUCUGUACUGCUAGCUACUGUAAUUAGGAUGUGAUUGUUGCACAAUAGUUCAAAUUGAAAUGUUAUUAUAGCACUGUGAUGAGCCUUCUGUUCACCAUGCCUGGUGGCUGAGAUGUGUUCACUUCGCGAUGUGACUGGUAAAUACAAAGUGUUUCUAGACCUUGACCACCGAAAUACUGUUUGAACUCUACUACACUUUUGAUCAUUGAUCUCCUGCUGUACUUUUUGUGAGCAUCAAUGUAUGCCUCACCUUAAAUGCAUUUUUGUAAGUAACUUGAUAAUAUAAGCAUCUACUAAAUGAAUGAAAUGAAUAUAUUAAUGUGUUGUUGAGAUGUUUGUCUCAAUCUAGUUUAUGUUAUUGUUAAACUCUGCCUGGUAAAAUACAGAUAAUUGCUUUGAUAACUUUGUUUUUCGGAACCUUGAAUUUCGGCUGUUCUUUCUCAUUUGUAUGUCACUUUGAAUUAAUAAAAAUGUUUUUUUUUUUUAAGUAAAGUGUUUCUCCUGACACAAAGA
Hypomesus transpacificus is the source of this 2977-nucleotide long non-coding RNA. RefSeq lists it as uncharacterized. The record is from RefSeq and is a predicted model, not a curated record. NCBI's taxonomy places the organism in Eukaryota, Metazoa, Chordata, Actinopteri, Osmeriformes, Osmeridae. The transcript has 4 exons.